UACGGAGGGUGCAAGCGUUAAUCGGAAUUACUGGGCGUAAAGCGCACGCAGGCGGUUUUGUAAGACAGGCGUGAAAUCCCCGGGCUCAACCUGGGAACUGCGUUUGUGACUGCAAGGCUAGAGUACGGCAGAGGGGGGUGGAAUUCCACGUGUAGCAGUGAAAUGCGUAGAGAUGUGGAGGAACACCAAUGGCGAAGGCAGCCCCCUGGGUCGAUACUGACGCUCAUGCACGAAAGCGUGGGUAGCAAACAGG
RNAcentral lists this ribosomal RNA (253 nucleotides) under uncultured bacterium. RNAcentral describes it as "partial 16S ribosomal RNA". It matches the Rfam family "Bacterial small subunit ribosomal RNA", at positions 524 to 776 of the family's 1533-position model. The record is from RNAcentral.